UGUUUUUGAGGCGAGAAUUUUGUAAAAGCAGCAUGAUUCAUUCUAUAAAAGUUGAUAUUAACAUGAGAUCAUGUGACAUAAUAAUAUUAUUUACCACUUUUUUUUUAUUGAGAGCAAUUGAAUUAUUUUUACUGAAUUUUGAUCAUUUUUUAAAUAUAUACCCUCUUAAAUAUGCAUAAUUGUAUGAAUAUACUUGUAAAGUUGCUAUUUGCAUGUGUAUCCUUAUAAAGUUUUCAUUUUGUGCAUCUACUUAUAAGAAUAUUCCAGUCAUUUUAAAUUUAAAUUAUUUAUUUUUUAACGGCAUUAGAUUAUAUAGGUAUAUAUAUUAUAAAAAAAGAAUGAUAUACAUGUAAAAUAAGUAUUUUAUGAGAUAUAUAUAUAAAUAGCAAUUUUAUGAAAAUAUUUAUAUAAUUUUGUAUAUUUUGAAGGGUAUACAUGUAAAAAAAAAUAUUUUAUCUUAUUACCUACGCCUGGCGCAUGUGAAAAGAAAAUUUUUUAAUCAGAAUAGAGGAUCACGACCAUCCAACUUGCCACGCUCUGGUGCAAUUUAUUGUGCACUCUCUCCCGUAGAAACGUAACAGAUUACAUGCAUGUCCCUUGCAAUUCAAUGUGGUUUCUCAAAAUCGCCGCCGCCACCACCUCCAUUGUUUCCUACGUACAAUUGCCACCACCUCUAAACCUCGGAAACUAGAGCCGCGUCGCAGUACCGCCAUCCUCUCUCCUACUGCUGCUGCAACAGUACCUCCUUCCCUCCACCUCCUUCCUCUCUUCCCCUCUUCUCCCUCCCAUCUCUUUCCUUUCCCUUCUCCCCAUCCCAAAA
Molecule: long non-coding RNA, 820 nt
Filed under: Phoenix dactylifera (date palm)
Lineage: Eukaryota; Viridiplantae; Streptophyta; Magnoliopsida; Arecales; Arecaceae
Description: long non-coding RNA (PDAC_LNC013607)
Source: RNAcentral